Astyanax mexicanus (Mexican tetra) is the source of this 71-nucleotide transfer RNA. It matches the Rfam family "tRNA". Rfam says of the family: Transfer RNA (tRNA) molecules are approximately 80 nucleotides in length. Their secondary structure includes four short double-helical elements and three loops (D, anti-codon, and T loops). The record is from Rfam. NCBI's taxonomy places the organism in Eukaryota, Metazoa, Chordata, Actinopteri, Characiformes, Acestrorhamphidae.
GCCCGGAUAGCUCAGUCGGUAGAGCAUCAGACUUUUAUCUGAGGUCCAGGGUUCAAGUCCCUGUUCGGGCG